GCCUGGGAUGGAACUCAGAUCCUUCCGCUUGCGCAGCAGGUGCGAAACCCCUGAGCCAAAUCCCCAGCCCGGACAUACGAUUUUUAAAGGACAUUCACACACAUAACACACAUGCCCAAACACAAGAUACUUUUAAAUUUUGGCGUGGAAAAGUAGAAACUAAAUAAUGAUAAAUCACUUAAAUACUUAUUAUAUUUGAAACAAUCUACAUAAAUUUAAAAUAGCACCAAAGAGAAAAUGUCUAACAUUACAAAACCAUGGCUUCCCAAUAUAUUUAUAGUUGGCAUUUUGUCCCUUUCUAUCCAGGCUCUGCAUACAAGUACUUUACAUACUUCAUCUCUGUCUAAAAUAUCUUAAAAGCUAUUUGAUUCUCAACCAAUCCUUGUUUAUAUUUUCUUAUUAUUAAAAACUAAAGUAAAUAUGCAUUCUACUGACACACCUGUGUUCUUUGUACCCUGUGAUACCUUUCUCCCCAGAGUUCCUAGGUGAAUUUUUUCAAGCAACAAUCCCUUUUGACUCCCUUCCUCCUCUAAACUCCUAGUUCCUCUAUGCCUGGUAAGGAAUGAAGAAAGACAGUUAUCAGUGUAUCAGUGUAUAUGAGGUCUCCUAUAUGAAUAGAAAAGAUGUUGAAUAAUUACUAAGUAAAUAAGAUUUUUACACACACACACACACGUGGAGGGAAAGACUACUACUUGGAUAAGGUCAAGAUGAAACGAUAGGAAAUACUGUGGGUUUUUUUUUUUUUUUUUGUGCCGGGGAUCGAACUCUGGACCUUGUGCUUGCGAGGCAGGUGGCAGAACCACUGAGCUAAGUCCCUGGCCCCUUCCUGUGAUUUUUUUGAUAUUUCCUUUAUGGUGAUUGGCUCAUGGUUUCAAAGUGGCAGCCAGAGUUCCAGGCAAUUGUCCUCAAGGCAAGAAGAAAGGAAGAGAAAAGCAGAAUAAAUAAAAAUGGGUCAAUUUCAUUUUUUGGGGGGGGCACUGGGGAUCAAACUUGGGACCUUGCACUUGUGAGGAAGGCGGUGGAGCCCUGAGCUAAAUCCUGUGCCCCAUCAAUUUUAUUUUUGUCCUUUUCCUUUUUCUUUCUUCCUAGAAAUGUUUCCUUAAACCACAGCCCCUAUAUAUUAAACAUCCUUAUCAGAUUGCAAACCAUAAUUUUCAAUGAAAGGCAAUUUUCCCUUUCAGAAGACAUAUGAGAAAGACAAGAUACACUUUAACUGUUACAUCUGAGAGAUAGGUGUCAUUGUCAUUCAGUGGACAGAGGUGAGUCACGCUGGCUAACAUCUAGUACAGUAAAACCCCAAAGAAAAAUUUCACCCUGCCUAAAAUAUCAAUGACUUUGAGGUCAUGAAGCUCUACUCUAAGUUAAUCUCAAGCUGGGGGGCACCGUGCAUCUCAAACAUUGAGGUUUAUAAGCAAAGGACAGGGAUUCAUACAAAGCUACUAGUGUCUUUCGUUAUACAACCAGAUCUUCAGAUAUAUUUAAAGCAUUACUCAAGCUGAGUCAAUUUCAAGCAAACUGUUACACAACUCUGGUCUAGAUUUUUAGGUAAUCUAUAAUUACAAUUAGGAAAAAAAGUCUUGGAAUAGAUUUAAUAACUAUUCAGCCCAGCCUCUGUAUUUACUUUAUACUUUGUCAUAAUGGAAACAAUUAUUGAUAUUUUAUCUUAGAUAUACAUGGCAUAAACACUGGAAUUACAUUUUUAAUAAUUAGAAAAGUUACUUCUCAAUCUGAAUCAUUAUUUUUUUUCAAGGCUCAAUGCCUAUUUGCCUAGUUGUACAAAGCUAUGUCUCCAAGUCCUAAUCAGUCUCUGAGACUGUGCUGCUUUAAUGAUAGAUGGAAAAUGAAAAUAUUAAGUACAUUUCUGAAAAAUUACACACAUUUAGGUCCCUUGGAAAACUGCAUUUUCAAGGCAUUUCAAAUGUUAGCUCUAGGAAUCACAGAGGUGGUGAAAAGCUAUUAUCCCUGUUUUAUAUUUGAGGCAGCAGGCUCAGAGGAUUUAAAUGGGGUGUUAAAUUUUAAGAUUAGAAAGUACCCAGGACUUCUCACUCAACAUUAAAGCAUAUAAUACUUUCUUUUAUUUUGUUUUUUGGAUUAUUCAAUGAAGGAAAAUUUUAACAAUAUAUUACAGUUAUUGUCUUUAAGUGAUCUACCCCUAGAGAGCUAAUGCUAUUGUAAAAACUAUUACUCAAUACUUUUAAGUUAACUACAGGAUCUUUUAAAUUUACAUGUAUUCAUUCCUAACUCUGUACCUUAUUCUCUUUUUGCUUUAUCACCAUAGGCAAUCAACAAUUUUUAUGUAUUUAAUCUUUAUCUCUACUUACAUAUUUUUGCAUGUAUUCUUUAAUUUUAUGUUUAUAAUCAUCAUUGAAUACACAGUCAAUUGCCUUAAUUCAACAAGAGUGGAGUUGAAGUCAAAGUUGUGUUAAUUUGGACUAAAUAAAGGAUUUCUAUUUCCAAAAAAGUAAGUUAAGAAAUCUAUGCUAACAUUGGAAUGCACAUUUCCAUUUUUCCACUCUAGAUUUCUUAUCAUUAAAUAAUAAAGGCAUAAUUAAAUGAGACAGUAAAUGUUGAAAAAGUGUAAGAGUAAACAUGAUUAGCUUAUGAAAUUGUAAGUUGGAUCAUCAGCAACACUACCAACAUCACACAUAAAACACACACACACACACUCCUAUUACACACAUUCAGCACCCCUGCACACAGAGUUAAAUCUUAUUUGAUGACUUCCCAUUGGUUUUAGGAUAAAGAAAUGACUCUUAUAGAGGCAAAUAUAGUGUGUAAUUACCUAUUUACUAUGCCAUUUUCUAUUUCCCCUGGGCAGCGUGCUCUCUGGCACAUUCUGUAUUUCACAUACACUGGCAUUCUACAAUCCCUAUUCCUUGCUAUGAACGCUUCUAACUCAAGACUUUUGUACCUCAGCAUUGUUUUAUUUCAUCUCAUCCUUAUAAACUUACAGAUAUCAGAUCACACACCUCAACAGUUACAUUAAUCCUAUACAUCUCUACUAUAUAUAAAUCUGAGCUGCAUUUUUAUGCACUUCGCUGGCAUAACUACUUCAUAGUUCAUGAGAUUAUAUUCAGUAAUCAAGCCUUGAGAUGAGCUGUAUUAUUUUUCUUUGUGAUCAUCAUGAAACAUUUCUAUCCAAGAGGGAGAAGACGUUUGUAAUAUUUGCGAAGAGACUUUUAUGGUAUAGCAGUAGAGUGGGUUAGAAGAUAGAGGCUUGAGAUCCAGAAAGAUUCAAGUUCCAAUCAGGCUUCCACCACUUAUUAGCUGAGCGCCCCCAAGAGAGUAAUUGCCUUUUCUAGGCUAUGGUUUUAAUUUUCAUCAGUAAACUACUACUAAUACUACAACCACCUGUUGUUUGGAGUUGCUCUAAGGAUUGGAUAUAAUACAGUUAAAGUGACUAACAAUAGGUGCAUAAGAAUUCAGAGAAAUAGCUAAUGUAAAACUAAGAGAAAGUGGAAAAAAAUUGAUUCUUCCAAACACUACUGCAUUUGGUAAUGAUAAGCCACUUAGAAUAAUUGAUCGUUUUUUAUUUUUCUUCCACCUCUGUUACUCUAGAUGGUGAUUAAACUUGGCUUAAGCUAAUUCUCAGCUCUGAACUGAAGCGACUAGAAGACUGAAUGGUUUGAGGAGGAAUUCUUCUACUGCAGUGGUAUAUCUGCUAGAGGCUGAGCCAGAAGUACAGGAACUCAAAGUGUUGCUACGUAGUAACUAGAGACCUAAAAUGCCAUCAUGUGGAAACGAUCCAUUUGCUUUAGGUUCAACAGUGAAGAUGGGGGAAUGUUGACUGAGAAGCCAAAGAAACCCACCUUCCAGAGCCUUUCUUUGGUUUUGACAAGUAAACAAUGUACCUUCUUGCAAUUAUCACCGUUCAUUUUUAACUCUGAAAAGUGACCUCGAGGAGGUUGGUGUCUUCACAGCCACAGCUCAGAAUUAAUCAGGCUGCUUGACUCAAAUCUCAGCUUCACCACUUGCUCACUGUAGAACUUGGCCAAGGUUCUCACCUUCUCUGCACCAUGGUUUGCUGGACAAUUGAAUCAGGACAUGGAUGAUUAUGAUAAAAUCUAAAUGUUAUCAUCAGCAACCAGCACAGAGAAAACACUCAGUAAAAAUUAGCUCAUAAUAUCUGCUCUAGUAGGAGGGGCUUGUGAUGUUUUUCUAAUAAAGAAAUAUUCUUUUAAUGUGAUAAUGAAAUAUUCCACAGUAUGGAAUUAUUAGCUCAUUUCCAUCUACUCUAAGGACAAAUGUAGGUGAUAUCUCACAGAGUGAAAAGGAAAAAAUGCAGGAGAGGGAAGAAAGGGGAAGUAAAGAGAAAGAAGAAAAAGAAGAAAGCAAGAAAGCAAAAAUUAUUGACUGGUUUGUAUUGGAAAAAUAAAUUGAAAUAACAUCAUAGUUUGGAAGGAUGAAGCAAAAAUAGUCAAGAAUGGCAACAUAACUUGAGGGGCAAGUGUGAAAUGAAAAUACGGCAACUUCUUGUCCAAAAAUUAUUACAAAUUUCAAGAAGAUGAGAGCCGUCUAAUAACCAACAUGGGUUCUUUGGAUCACAGAGCCCCAUGUAACUUGUCCCACCAUGAAGCCAGCCUUCUGUAUAGUGUCUUUAUUUUGUCUUAAAUUAAUUCAUUCCUCAAGAGCUCUCACACGCAGCUUAGGGAGGUCAGACGUGAACUUUUGUGCCAUCUGCUAUUGAUUCUUGGUCUGACCUGGUAAUUUAUGUUCAUAUAGUUUUAGUUUGGUUAGGUAAAAGAGCUCAGUUUCUCAGUUUCUUUCUCCUCUGGCUAUGUUUUAAGAAUUUUAGAGUGUAUUGAGGGGAGAGGGUCUCUGGAACAGUUCUCUGGUCGUUCCGUUUGUUCAGUAACAUUUCUUUUUUAUCUGUGUGAUACUUGGCAUUACAGGCCAAAGUCUGUAGUUGAUUAACUUCGGAUGUGAGGUCAUCUGUUUUUCAAAAUGACUAUCAUUGUUGAAUUGUAAACAAAAUAGGUCACAGAGUUAAGUUUCUCUUCAAGUGCAUGGAAACUUGGCAAAAAGUGGGAUAAACCACAAUUAAAAUAAAUAUAUGUGUAUUUUCUCUACAAAUAAAUUGUGACUUUAUUUUUUUCUAUGAUUUUCAAAAUAUUUACAAAUGAAAAUGUUAGUCAGAUUUCUAUCGCUAAGAAAAUCAACUUAAAGGAGGAAAGAUUUAUUUUGGUUCAGGGUCUCAGGAGUUGCGUUCCAUGGCUGGCCUGUUCCAUUGUUGGGUUUGGGAGACACAGCUCAUCAUGACAUUAAGGAUAUGGGUGGAGCAAAGCUACUCACCUCAUGGUGGCCUAGAAGCCAAAAAACAGAAAGAGAGAGAGGGUCCAGAGACAAAUUCUACCAGUCAAAGGUGGCUCAGUGAGCAACCCUCCCAUCUAAGCCCCGCCUUCUAAAGUUGUCAGCACCUCCCAACAGUAGCAGCCACAGCUCAAGGCAUGGCCUUCAACACAGGAGUCUUUGGAGAACAUUCCAGAUCCAAACUUCGACAAUCUUGACUCUUCUUUUUGGUGAAUUUUGUAAUAAUAUCUGAGAGAAAACAAACAAAAAAAUCCCAAUUAAAUUUAAAAUCACAAAUUUGAUUUCCUACUCAAAGAAUUCUGUAGUAAAUUCACUAUUCAGUGAAGCUUUCUUUGUUUGUUUUGCUUUUGUUUUUUUCAAUACUAGGAAUUGAACUCAGGACCUUACACUUGGC
Molecule: long non-coding RNA, 5704 nt
Organism: Heterocephalus glaber (naked mole-rat)
Lineage: Eukaryota; Metazoa; Chordata; Mammalia; Rodentia; Bathyergidae
Source: Ensembl